Long non-coding RNA from Oreochromis aureus, 407 nucleotides. The record is from Ensembl. Lineage: Eukaryota; Metazoa; Chordata; Actinopteri; Cichliformes; Cichlidae.
GGCAGCCCCUCAUUGCCUGAUUGUUGUCUCAGCCCUAGUGUACACCAACCAGCCCAUUGGGAUCCCACCAUUCCUCCAGAAGGACCAGUGCCAAGAUCAUCUUCCCUCCUCGCCAGCCAACCUUGCCCACGUUCCACUCUCGCUCCACGCUACUUACCUGCACUCAUGCCUACCCACCUGAGCUCCUGUUCGUCCUUCGUCUGGCCUCAGCCACCUGUACCCAAACUCCCACCCAUGUAACAAAUUGCCCAAGUAUCUCCGUCUGCUUGCUCCUUUGGUUGGAUUUGUGUAAAUAGAUCUAUGACAAUAAACUUUUUCACUGUGAUUCGUGUGUGUCUGUGUGAUCCGCUCCAUGAGUGUAUUUCUCAUUACACAUGACACUGAGGCAGUAAAGACUUCGAAAGCAU